RNAcentral lists this unclassified non-coding RNA (272 nucleotides) under Hevea brasiliensis (rubber tree). Lineage: Eukaryota; Viridiplantae; Streptophyta; Magnoliopsida; Malpighiales; Euphorbiaceae. The record is from RNAcentral.
AAAAAGCAUGAUUUCAAGACUUAUCCCUUUCAUAGACAAAUGCCAAUUACAACAUAAUUUGACUACUAAAUUACUAAUCCCAUAAUGAAGAAUUCAACCUCCAAUUUUGGAUCAUCACAGAAUUGUUUACGUUAAUAUGAAACUCUCUAGCCAUACAAAGACAACAAGAAGUUUGAAUUCAACAGAUAAAAAUACAUAACCAUGUUCCUUUCAGAAAAAUACUCCUGUAAAUUUCUUCCAAGAAUUUCUGAUUACUUUUUUUUUUCUUUGUG